GCUCAUCGCUGCCAGGGGGCGGAGCUUCCUCGCCGGGCGUUUUAAAAACUCGAGCUGAGUAAUGUGCCUGGAGAAUACUGCAGGCAGCAAUCUAGUCCUCGAGGAGGAAGAGGAACCUUAUCUUUUUACGUGUGAGAGGACCAAUCAAAAUGAGACACAGUGGUGAGCGGCGGCAAAACGUUUGAGUUCUUCAGACUCUUCAUUGAGCUGGAUGUUUGUUCUGCUUCUGAUGGUGAAAAAGAGAGCCUGGAGCCCUUCUGCUGCAGGUUCAGUCCCAACCUCUGGUUUCUUAGAUCUCAUCAGGCACUGCCAAUACACUUCAAGCCUGUACUCAUCAUUUUUAGGGAUAGAAACAUGCUUUUUUAUUUUUUUUUAAAUUCAAGUUCCAGGAUCCGGAUCAGAACAAGGCAUGCAAUUCCUAGAAAAAACAGCCACAACAAAACCCAGUAAUAUGUAGGCAUAGAGAACCAAGCCCUGCAGAGUUCCAUUUUAGAUCCUUUGGACCUGCCAAGAAAAGAAAAAAUGUAUACUGUGAUAAUCCUGGAGGUGGAAGUGAUUCAGUAGCCAAAGCACUUUCAGACUUUAGGCUGGAGCAGGCUCUGGUGUGAGGAGCUGGAAGAUCCUGCAUGUAGAGCGAAGUAGCUAUCAACAGAGUCUUCCUGGAGGCAGCGGGAUUGUCUGCAGGAGGGAGGCAAAGGUGACCAGUUCUGCCAGAGACCAAGGAAGAUGAGUGAAGCUCUGUCUCCUUGCCUCAGUUUAUCCCUACCUUUCCAGGCUCUCCUCCUCCAUGGCUGUUGGCUUAACUGCUUCCCCCUCAGAGCCUGUACCAUUUUCAGGACUGUUAAACUGCUGCAAAAAGAACCAGGGGAGAUUGUGAUAAGAAAAGGAAGUGGGGUCAAGAAACUUAUGACUUUGUGGCCACAUCUUCUGUCAGUGCAAAAGGGAGUCUAGGUGUAUAGAUGUGCAUGAGAAUGCACAUAAACAUGCAUGUGAAACUGGAAUGGUGGAUAAAUAUAAUGGUAGAUAAAUAACACUAACAGGCUGUAAUUGUAGCAUUUCCCAUUAUGUUAGAUGCUUAUGAGGGAUGAUGCAAUCUUGAGGACCACAGCUUUUGUUUGAUAACAGUUUCUAGUCCUUCUGGAAUAAAGCUUGAAAUUUUGAACAACUAAAAGACCUUAUUCAUGAAAAUGCAUUUAUUUAACACAUUUCUGUACUGCCCAAAACACAAGUUCUCUGGGUGGUUUACAACUUGAACAACUAAAGCAU
Long non-coding RNA from Hemicordylus capensis (graceful crag lizard), 1266 nucleotides. RefSeq lists it as uncharacterized. The record is from RefSeq and is a predicted model, not a curated record. Lineage: Eukaryota; Metazoa; Chordata; Lepidosauria; Squamata; Cordylidae. The transcript is spliced from 6 exons.